UUUAAAGUCUAACCUGCCCAAUGAGGAUUUAAAUGGCCGCGGUAUUUUGACCGUGCAAAGGUAGCAUAAUCAUUAGUUUUUUAAUUGAAAGCUUGUAUGAAUGGUUGGACGAGAAAACUACUGUCUCAAUUUAAUUUUAAUUAGAAUUUUAUUUUUAAGUAAAAAAGCUUAAAUGAGUUUAAAAGACGAGAAGACCCUAUAGAGUUUAAUAUUUAUUUUUAUAUUAAUAAUUUAGUGUUUUAUUAAUUUUUAUAGUAAUAAGUAUUUUGUUGGGGUGACAAAAAAAUUUAAUAAACUUUUUUUUUAUAAUUACAUUAAUUUAUGAGUAUUUGAUCCAUUUUUUAUGAUUAAAAGUUUAAAUUACCUUAGGGAUAACAGCGUAAUUUUUUUUAAGAGUUCUUAUCGAAAAAAGAGUUUGCGACCUCGAUGUUGGAUUAAAAUUUACUUUUGGUGUAGAAGCUAAUAAGUUAGGUCUGUUCGACCUUUAAAAUUUUACAUGAUCUGAGUUUAAACCGGCGUGAGCCAGGUUGGUUUCUAUCUUUAAAAAUUAAUAAUAUUUUAGUACGAAAGGACCAAAUAUUAAUAAAAUUUAUUUUUAUUUUGAAUAGUAUUAUU
Molecule: ribosomal RNA, 615 nt
Filed under: Oxythyrea cinctella
Lineage: Eukaryota; Metazoa; Arthropoda; Insecta; Coleoptera; Scarabaeidae
Description: partial 16S large subunit ribosomal RNA
Rfam family: Bacterial large subunit ribosomal RNA
Source: RNAcentral